UUUCCGUAGGUGAACCUGCGGAAGGAUCAUUAGUGAAUUUUAGGGUGCUUUCCGGAGUCUUCUUUAACUGGAGACUGUUUGGAAAGGCCUGACCUCCACUAUCUACCCUGUGCAUCUAUUUUGACCCUGUUCCUAGAGACCUGUCAAAGGGACUCUUAAGGACUUGGUCUCCUUUUUCUUAAACUCUAGUCUAAGAAUGUAAACAAAUAAUAACAAAAAAAAACUUUCAACAACGGAUCUCUUGGCUCUCGCAUCGAUGAAGAACGCAGC
Molecule: unclassified non-coding RNA, 270 nt
Filed under: uncultured fungus
Lineage: Eukaryota; Fungi
Description: sequence contains ITS1, 5.8S rRNA gene
Rfam family: 5.8S ribosomal RNA (bases 222-270)
Source: RNAcentral